AACAGAGAGGCAAGCUCACCACCAGAAUGUGCCUUUUCCUUAUCAAAAAGAAUUGCUGCCCCUUACAGGACAGGAGGAUUCCAAUUGUGACCAAGUUGGACCAGCCUUGAGCCACAACUCAGACUUAUUUUCAUUCUCUGCUCAUUGGCCAUUAGGAACCCGAUCCUUAUGACCUGCAGUGACCUGCUGCUACCAGAACUGACUCGCUUCCAGAACUGACUUGCUUCAAAGUGACGGAUGAAACCCAUAUGGAGAUAUUCCUGGGGUGGGUAGGCCAGUUGGAAGACAGAGUGUUUACACCUGAGAGAGGACUUGAGGAAAAGCAGUUGAAAUACCAUUAGUUAACAGAUUGCCCAAUGAAGUCGAUGACAACUGUGAUAAGAAAUUACUCACUAUCACAGCGUCUCCAAGAGAUGAACAGUGGAUGAUGCUUCCAAAGCACAGAUGUCCCUCUCCUCCUCAACCUUCUCUCCCCAGAAAGAUGUCAACACUGUGGAGAUUGUGCUAUGAAGAUACCUGGUGUGGCAUUGCAAUAGAUGAAAUGUUAAGGGCAAUUCAACAAUUUUCUGAACAAGUACAUGGAUUUAACUUGAAGUUGAAUUUAAUUUGACUUCAAGAAAAAUUAUAUUUCUGGUCCUCCUAUGAUCAUGUACUAAGAAUUAUUUAACUGCAGAUACAAUUGUUAUCUUUAGAGCUAGAAGGCCUCAUUUUAGAAUUAAAAUGAAUGGCAACCCAGACAGAUAAAGUCGAGUCGUGAUCAUCCCACUGCGGAGGCAGAGCCAGUGCUGGCCAUCCCCCGACCGCCCCAACACGCUCCAGGUCUCACACAUUUAAUCUCUCUCUCUGCCAAGGGAAUUUUUUCUUUCCAUUUAUUCUUAGAAACAACUAAGGGAGUUUUAAGUUAAAUACAUGCUGCCAAAUUGAAUCCAAGGAAACUAAAGUCAAAUGCAUUAGCAAACACUUAAUGUCCUCUCCAUUUUGACAUUUCUCCCUCAAUUCCUAUUUCUGAGUAAAGGCUGUUCAGAUGAAUAAAAACAUAUUUUCAGAAAUCUGAGCUCAUAAGACCUACAGGCCUGUGAAGUCACAGACCGUGCACUGUCAGCAGUCAGCAAUUCUGCUGGGUUGAAUAGGCAUGUUUCAAACUAUGUAUUUUUGUUAAAAAAAAAAAAAAAAAGUGUGUGUAAAUGCAUUUACAAAAUAAUUUGUACUCUUUCCCAGUAAUUUAUAGUUGCCUUCACAGUACCCAGUUCCUGAUUUCACACCAAGCCCCUGCUGAGGAUAUGAGAGUAAUAAAAAAGGGAGCCCUGGCUCUUCCUCUCCUUUAGUGUCUUUCCUGGAAGUGGACUGGGAGAAGAGCUUCUUCAGCCACCUUCUGCCUGCAGACAUCCUCCAUGAGUUUGCUUUAGAAGAAGGCUUCAAUUUGAAGAAAGUCAAAUAAAACAAGGUAGACUAUCAUUCCCAUAGAUGCAAAAGAAGGUGAACCCAGAUUCAGAUCCUAAGUCAGCCAUUCUGCAGGGAACUCUUAGGUGUCCAGGUCAGAGGCUCUAUUCAAACUGCCUCAUCAAUAUUCACUCCUCAGUUGUUGUAAAUAUACCACACUCAUGUACAUUGUUAAUAAUAAAAGGGGAACUGUAGAGGAGGGGGUGGUGUAUAUGAGA
Gorilla gorilla gorilla (western lowland gorilla) is the source of this 1658-nucleotide long non-coding RNA. RefSeq lists it as uncharacterized. Lineage: Eukaryota; Metazoa; Chordata; Mammalia; Primates; Hominidae. The transcript is spliced from 3 exons. The record is from RefSeq and is a predicted model, not a curated record.